Molecule: non-coding RNA, 71 nt
Organism: Stegodyphus dumicola
Lineage: Eukaryota; Metazoa; Arthropoda; Arachnida; Araneae; Eresidae
Source: the annotation of a RefSeq genome assembly
ACCUUCGUAGUGUAGCGGUAGCACACUCGGCUUGCAUUCGAGAGGUCCAGAUUCGAGUCCUGGCGAGGGCA